AUGGCUCAAGGGGUGGCUGCGGGCGGAGGAUCAAGCACGACUGCGGGCGCCGGAGCAAGCACCACGGCGGACGACGACCCAGGCACGGCGGACGGCGGCCAAGGCGGGGCUGGGGAUGGCUCGUCGGUGAGGUCCGCUGUGCAGCACUUGCCGGUGAGCUCAGCUGCAGGCGGUGCAGGCCAUGGCGAUGCUGCAAGGUUGGGCGUGGAUGCGGGCUUGGGCCACGGUGCUGCUGCAGACUUAGAAGGUGAAAAAAACCCGUUUGGUCAUGAUUGCUCUAAUGCAAGAAGGAAAAAGAAGGUGAAGAAUGCAACUAAGUACUGGAUAUGUGAGAAGGUGAAGGACUGGCUCAUUGAAGAUGCAACUCUAGGAGCAAAGGAAUUGCGAAAGAAGCUUAAAGAACACCACAAGGUCAAAAUCAACUACAAGAGAGUAUAUAUGGGUAAGUUGCUAGCCUUGAAGCAACUAUAUGGUGAUUGGGAUAUCAGCUUUGACAAUUUGUAUAGGUUUAAGGCACAAGUUGAAAGUUGUUGCCCUGGUAGCAUAGUGCAGAUCGAUCAUCACACAAUAAAUGGUAAAAUCAGGUUUAGAAGAAUUUUUGUUGCUAUGAAACCUUGCAUAGAGGGGUUCCUUAGUGGUUGCAGACCAUAUUUGGCAAUAGAUAGCACAUUCUUGACGGGCAGGUUCAAGGGGCAGCUGGCUAGUGCUACCGCCAUUGAUGGCCAUAAUUGGAUGUAUCCGGUUAGUUUUGGAGUCUUUGAUUCUGAAACUAACGAGAAUUGGAUUUGGUUCAUGCAAUUGCUAAGACAGGCCAUAGGAUCACCAAAUGGGUUGGCCAUAUGCACCGAUGCUGGUCAAGCAGUAAUGACAGGGGUGAAAGAAGUGUUCCCAGAGGCGGAACAUAGGGAAUGCAUGUUUCACUUGGUGACCAACUUCAAGAAGAAGUUCCAUGGGAAGGUGUUUGAUGACCACCUUUGGGCUGCUGCUUACUCAUGGAACCCAUAUUUAUUUGACAAACAUUGGGUUGCUAUGGAGACAACGAAGCCAACUGCAACUGCAUAUAUGAGGAAGUGGCACAAUAGGUUGUGGUCUAGGAGUCAAUUCUCAACUAUAUGCAAGGUAGAUUAUGUAACCAACAACCUGGCUGAGAGCUUUAACAAUUGGGUUAAGCACCACAAGUCCUUGAACUUGGAUGACCUCUUUGAUAAGGCGAGACAAUUGAUUAUGAUAUUGUGGAACCGAAGGAGAAAAGUAGCAAACGAGUUAGAUGGUUUGAUUCUGCCCCACAUAAUUAAGAAGCUGAAUGCAAUGACCGGGGAAUUAAACUUGGAGGUGGUAGAAAGCUCAGAAGAAGUGGCUGAAGCAACUGCAUUAGGUGGUAGUGGCUUUAGGUUUGUGGUCAACUUGCAAGAGGGGACAUGUUCUUGUCGACAAUGGCAAGUUUCUGGCCAUCCUUGCAAACAUGCUCUUGCAUUCAUCACGUCACUUAGCAAUGCACACAUACGACACUAUGUGGACUUGUAUUUCUCCAUUGACAAAUAUAGAGCAGCUUAUGCCCAACUAAUUCCUGCCAUGCCGGACAAGACCCAAUGGCCUAAAUCUGACCAUGGAUUCUUCAUGCAUCCACCACUAUUGAAGGCCACGGCUGGUAGGCGUAAAACUGAGAGGUACAAAGGUUGUGGUGAGAAGGAAAGGAAAAGUGGUCAACACUUAUGCCCUAUUUGUAAGGAAUAUGGGCAUCGUUGGCACAAAUGUAAGAAGGGAAACCCAGAGGACAUUGCUGCAAUGAUGGCUGUGAGAGAACCACCAAAGAAAAGGACAAAGACAACCAAAACAGCUGAGUUAUCCAUUGUGCCUUGUGAAGAUGGAGUACCAACAAGAAUGUGUUUUCCCCAAGCAAAAGCUUGGAAACUACAACCAAAAAAAGGGGAAGCAUGUUAA
Molecule: ribosomal RNA, 1941 nt
Filed under: Triticum aestivum (bread wheat)
Lineage: Eukaryota; Viridiplantae; Streptophyta; Magnoliopsida; Poales; Poaceae
Description: partial small subunit ribosomal RNA
Source: RNAcentral